UACAGAGGUCCCAAGCGUUGUUCGGAUUCAUUGGGCGUAAAGGGCGCGUAGGCGGCUUGGCAAGUGGAUGGUGAAAUCCCUCGGCUUAACCGAGGAACUGCCGUCCAAACUGCUUUGCUUGAGACCGGGAGAGGUGAGUGGAAUUCCCAGUGUAGCGGUGAAAUGCGUAGAUAUUGGGAGGAACACCAGUGGCGAAGGCGGCUCACUGGACCGGUACUGACGCUGAGGCGCGAAAGCGUGGGGAGCAAACGGG
RNAcentral lists this ribosomal RNA (253 nucleotides) under uncultured bacterium. RNAcentral's name for it is "partial 16S ribosomal RNA". It matches the Rfam family "Bacterial small subunit ribosomal RNA", at positions 524 to 776 of the family's 1533-position model. The record is from RNAcentral.